This 460-nucleotide ribosomal RNA is filed under the name uncultured bacterium. RNAcentral describes it as "partial 16S ribosomal RNA". It matches the Rfam family "Bacterial small subunit ribosomal RNA", at positions 338 to 795 of the family's 1533-position model. The record is from RNAcentral.
CCUACGGGGGGCAGCAGUGAGGAAUAUUGGUCAAUGGGCGGGAGCCUGAACCAGCCAAGCCGCGUGAAGGAAGAAGGCGCCAGGCGUCGUAAACUUCUUUUGUCGGGGAACAAAGGGCGCCAAGCGUGGCGUUGUGAGUGUACCCGAAGAAAAAGCAUCGGCUAACUCCGUGCCAGCAGCCGCGGUAAUACGGAGGAUGCGAGCGUUAUCCGGAUUUAUGGGGGUUAAAGGGUGCGUAGGCGGUCCGGAAAGUCAGCGGUAAAAGCCCCGGGCCAAACCCCGGCGGGCAGUGUCAACUGUCGGACUAGGGACGGCGGGAAGUACGCGGAAUGCGCGGUGUAGUGGUGAAAUGCAUAGAUAUCUCGCAGAACUCCGAUUGCGAAGGCAGCGUACCGGCGCCGGACUGACGCUGAGGCACGAAAGCGUGGGUAUCGAACAGGAUUAGAUACCCCCUGUAGUC